GCCCUCGUAGUCCAAUGGCAGAGGCACCCGGAUGAGAGCCGGGACAGUGCAAGUUCGAAUCUUGCCGAGGGCAC
This 74-nucleotide transfer RNA is filed under the name Actinomadura macrotermitis. Its description in RNAcentral is "Actinomadura sp. RB68 tRNA-Leu". It matches the Rfam family "tRNA". Rfam says of the family: Transfer RNA (tRNA) molecules are approximately 80 nucleotides in length. The record is from RNAcentral. Lineage: Bacteria; Bacillati; Actinomycetota; Actinomycetes; Streptosporangiales; Thermomonosporaceae.